RNAcentral lists this long non-coding RNA (220 nucleotides) under Malus domestica (apple). RNAcentral's name for it is "long non-coding RNA (MDOM_LNC003414)". The record is from RNAcentral. Lineage: Eukaryota; Viridiplantae; Streptophyta; Magnoliopsida; Rosales; Rosaceae.
UGAGGGUAGAUUCUCUAAAUUUGUCAGAAAUUUGAUGAAUUUCGCCUGAAAAAUCAACCGGGUCAAGUAGGGUUGUCGGGUCAAGGGGGAACCGAUUCGGUUCCCCUCCUUCUUCUCUUUCAUGCAUUCCUUCCUUUCUCUCUUCUCUGAUUGGUCACCAUCUCAUCUCUUUUUUUCUUCUGAUUCCCUCAUAUUUCCCUCAUUUCUCUCCUUUAACUAU